RNAcentral lists this long non-coding RNA (2887 nucleotides) under Citrus x clementina. Its description in RNAcentral is "Citrus clementina (C. clementina) long non-coding RNA (CCLE_LNC006450)". Lineage: Eukaryota; Viridiplantae; Streptophyta; Magnoliopsida; Sapindales; Rutaceae. The record is from RNAcentral.
AAAAAAAACUUUAAAAAAUUAAAUGAGCUAAAAAUUUUGUUUUUUUACAUAGAGGGGCAUUUUUGUCAUUCAAUCAAAAGUUAAACGGAGCCGUUAAACUUAACUUAGAAAAUAACGGAAUUGGGGGCGUGGUGCAAAAAUGUCAAUUUUUUUGGGUGCGCAGUGCAACAAGUCAAAUUUGUUGGGGACGCGGUGCAAAAUGUCAAUUUAUUUGGGGGUAGGUUACAAAUUUCCCUAAAUAUAAAUAUUAAAUAUGUGCUUAUUAAUGUAAUCUGACGGUCAUCGUUAUUAAUCAACGACGGAACAGCUCCACGGUAGCGAUUGCCUUUGUGAAAAAGUACAUAACUAGCUAGCCGGACUGCAGGAGUUGCUGGAGUCAUCAUCAUAUUUAUAUAUGAUACCGCAUGCAAAUCUGGCUGUUGCUGCAACCGUUGCACCGCACUACAUUUUUUCUUUUUCUGUAUUUGACAAAACCCGUUCGAUGUUAGAUUGUUUCAUCUAACGGCUGACAUUAUUUCUUGGGUCACUUACAUCCACUGGUAACUUCAAUUUUUAGAGAGAGCCUCUAAUCUCAUAUUCUCAUUCAAAACAUUUUUGGUUCUUCAAUUUCUAUCAAUCCAAAACUACUGUUUCGACAUGAAUUUCUCAUACUAUUCUUCCAUUACCCAUUCUUGGUUCUAUCGCUUUCAAUUGAUAGUAGUGCUCGAACAAAGUUGUUCCUAACCCUUAAAUAAUUUAUAACCAGUGUAUCGAUCGAUUCAUUUCUACUUUAAUCGACCAUUAUGUUGUUACCAAAUACCCCGGCGUUGUUAUCAUAAUGUUUACCUUUUCCUUAUGCUUCCAGGAAGGCAAAUUAGAAUGAAGGCAAAAUGUGACAAGCAAGUCGCGACGGAGCGGUCGGAGUAGGAGAGAGGCUCAUUGGAACUGUCAGUUUGUCAGCAACGAAAUACCUAACUUGCACAUUUUGUUACACCUACCCAUAUUUAAUAAUUAAUUUCUUCUUCUUUUAAUAUCAUUGAGGAUAGAUGUGAAGAUAAAUAAAUUUAUUUGAAAUGAUAUUUUUAUUAAAAAAAGAAAUAAAGGGGGAAGCUAAAGCAAAAUCGGCUGUGAGUUUUAUCUAAUUGAGAUGGUAAAAUCUUUUAUAUUGUGCUAUAUGAAAAUAAAAUAUAGAAGCAUUUAAGAAAAAGGUUAGUUAAGGUGUUAUUGAAACAAAUUUUAUUAAAAUAAUUAAAUUAAGUUUUUAUUUAAUAAAUGUUUUUAGAUUCAGUAUUCAACAACUUGAAAAUGGUACAAAUCUCGUCAACGACCAUGAUAAUAUUAUCUCAAAAAUAUUGACAUAAAAAUAUCGUUGAAUACUAAUAUCCCAAAAAUACCGUUGUAAGGAUAUUAUUGUAAAAAAAAAAGAAAAAUUAAGGGUAGGAACGUAAUAUAUUUAAUAAUAGGGGCGUCGUAAAUUAUGUUUUAAAUUAGGGUGAGGCUAUUUGAAGCCACUAAAUUACUCAUUAAACUCAUUUACUAAAUAAACCCACAUUUAAAUUUUAACAUUUUAAAUUUUACUCAAUAAACCUAUAUAAAUACCCAAUACACUCUUCUUAAACCCUUUUUUUUAUAAUAAUACUAUUUUUACUUAUUAAACCCAUUAAAUUCAUUUAUAAACCCUUAAUAAAUGUUUCUUUUUUUCCCAUUAAACUGAAGAUUUUCUUUAUGAAUAUGAUUCUAAAAAAAUAGUUACAACACAUAUUCAUCUUUUUUUUUUUUUUCAAAAAGAAGUUUAUUACAGCACAAUUAGUAACUACUAGACCUUUUUCAACCUAUUUUACACCAUUUAACAAUGUCUCAACCUUUGAUUCAAGAUGAAAAUUAUACAAAUUCUUCAUGGAGGCAACAAACAAACAAUAUCUAUCAUUGCUUGUGCAGUAAUCACCAACAUAAAAAAGAAUUGCUUUAUGGCAAAAAUAAGAAUCGCUUUAUGGCUGUAUACAACACUAUUUGUCUUUUUUUUGUAAUUACUCAUUACUCUUGUUGUCACACUCCAGUUUUUAGAAAUUCAAAAAUGAUCAAUGUUGCCGACUAUUGCUUAAAAUGUGUAAAUACAAUCUCUUCAAUAGAAAUAUAUGACAUUUUAUGUACUUUAAAUUUCCAUUUAUUUAAGAUCCCUUAGGCUCUGAAAAAGGCAUGUCAAUGGCAGAAGAUACUGGAUUCUUCAGAGUCAUGUAGGCUUUCUUGUAAUUUGGCCUAGCAACCAAGAGACCCUCCCUUUUUUCCUUCUUCCCCUGCAUAUUCAGCGUUCUUACCUUCUCAAUAUUUCACUGCAACUUUUGAUGGCGACAGGGGCUGAAGUGCAUAGAAGUGGUUUAGAGAAGUUUUUCAACAACACUACUUGUCAUUGAUUGUUGCCCACUGUCAAACGAAAACAAAGAUGUAACCACCAACUUUAUUAUCCUGAAUCUAAUCACAUGAGCCUAAUUAACAAAAAUAUGUAGUUUGGAAGAAAAAUCAUGUCUCUAGUUGAUUAGGGUUUGACAAAAAUAUGAUUAGGGUUUAACAAAAUUAUGUUGAAUGUAAAGAUGGGUUCAAAGAGUAAAAAUUAUGUUUUUUUUUUUCCUUUUUUUACUAGAUUUUAAUGUCCAUAAUUGUAAUAUUAUUUAAGGGUAUUUUAAUAUUUUUUUUAAAUGGGUUUAAUGAGUAGUUUGGUGGGUUCAAAUAGCCACAUCCUUUAAAUUUUAAAAUAUAGGGAUUAACGUGGAUUUCUACCAUUUUAACUAAAUUCAAUUGUAACCACUACAAUUCAUGAUUUAAACAAAAAUAUCAAUGUAAAAUAAUUUUAUAAUAAAUAAAUGUUGUUGUUUAUAGAUAAAUAAUAGUUUUAAUUUUAAACUGUAAAUUG